RNAcentral lists this ribosomal RNA (489 nucleotides) under uncultured Alphaproteobacteria bacterium. RNAcentral's name for it is "bacterial SSU rRNA". It matches the Rfam family "Bacterial small subunit ribosomal RNA", at positions 9 to 521 of the family's 1533-position model. The record is from RNAcentral. Lineage: Bacteria; Pseudomonadati; Pseudomonadota; Alphaproteobacteria.
GAGUUUGAUCCUGGCUCAGAACGAACGCUGGCGGCAUGCCUAACACAUGCAAGUCGAACGAAGGCUUCGGCCUUAGUGGCGCACGGGUGCGUAACGCGUGGGAAUCUGCCCUUUGCUUCGGAAUAACAGUGGGAAACUACUGCUAAUACCGGAUGAUGUCUUCGGACCAAAGAUUUAUCGGCAAGGGAUGAGCCCGCGUAGGAUUAGGUAGUUGGUGGGGUAAAGGCCUACCAAGCCGACGAUCCUUAGCUGGUCUGAGAGGAUGAUCAGCCGCACUGGGACUGAGACACGGCCCAGACUCCUACGGGAGGCAGCAGUGGGGAAUAUUGGACAAUGGGGGCAACCCUGAUCCAGCAAUGCCGCGUGUGUGAAGAAGGCCUGCGGGUUGUAAAGCACUUUCAGAGGGGAAGAAAAAUCGGAGCUAACACCUCCGAGCUUGACGUUACCCUUAGAAGAAGCACCGGCUAACUCCGUGCCAGCAGCCGCCGU